This 467-nucleotide long non-coding RNA is filed under the name Gallus gallus (chicken). RNAcentral describes it as "long non-coding RNA NONGGAT008834". Lineage: Eukaryota; Metazoa; Chordata; Aves; Galliformes; Phasianidae. The record is from RNAcentral.
CAGUGCUACUGUGCCUCAUCGCACUGGUGAGAGUUCAUUCCCAGAGCUUGAGCUGUGUGGGAUGUGCAGAACACAGUGAGUGCCUGCUCCCAUUUCACGUUGCAUCGAGCUACCCCUCAGCACCAGAUGAAGAGCCCCUGCUUGAAUGCAGCACACUGCUCUGCUGGGAGCAGACAACAGCUGAUUCCUUCCGCAGGCUCCGGGGCUGUGAGCGUGUCUCACCUCUGCGGUUACACCAGCACUGCUGGGAGCACAGUGAGCAGCACAGCUGAGCCCCUCCUCGCAGCACACAGCUCGCCUCCUGUGCCCCCUGCAGCUCUUGCUGCCUUGCGUUGCUGGGUGCUGCUCGGAGGGCACCGUGUGGUUUCUUUGCUCGCUUUGGAUGAGGACAGCCCUGCUGUAGGAUGGGCCCUCCUCUGCAGCCUAGGACCACAAGCGCUGCUCCUGAGAGCUGUGUUUUGCAGAGC